RNAcentral lists this ribosomal RNA (207 nucleotides) under Klebsiella oxytoca. RNAcentral's name for it is "partial 23S ribosomal RNA". It matches the Rfam family "Bacterial large subunit ribosomal RNA", at positions 1446 to 1652 of the family's 2925-position model. Lineage: Bacteria; Pseudomonadati; Pseudomonadota; Gammaproteobacteria; Enterobacterales; Enterobacteriaceae. The record is from RNAcentral.
UGGUGUUACUGCGAAGGGGGGACGGAGAAGGCUAUGUUGGCCGGGCGACGGUUGUCCCGGUUUAAGCAUGUAGGCGGAUGUUCCAGGUAAAUCCGGAACGUUAUUAACGCUGAGGUGUGAUGACGAGGCACUACGGUGCUGAAGUGACAAAUGCCCUGCUUCCAGGAAAAGCCUCUAAGCAUCAGGUAACAUCAAAUCGUACCCCAA